This 413-nucleotide ribosomal RNA is filed under the name uncultured bacterium. Its description in RNAcentral is "bacterial SSU rRNA". It matches the Rfam family "Bacterial small subunit ribosomal RNA", at positions 505 to 916 of the family's 1533-position model. The record is from RNAcentral.
GUGCCAGCAGCCGCGGUAAGACGGAGGAUGCAAGCGUUAUCCGGAAUUAUUGGGCGUAAAGCGUCCGCAGGUGGCCAUUCAAGUCUGUUGUCAAAGAGCAAGGCUCAACCUUGUAAAGGCAAUGGAAACUGAGUAGCUAGAGUGCGGUAGGGGUAGAGGGAAUUCCCGGUGUAGCGGUGAAAUGCGUAGAUAUCGGGAAGAACACCAGUGGCGAAAGCGCUCUACUGGGCCUGCACUGACACUGAGGGACGAAAGCUAGGGGAGCGAAAGGGAUUAGAUACCCCUGUAGUCCUAGCCGUAAACGAUGGACACUAGGUGUUGCGCGUAUCGACCCGUGCAGUGCCGUAGCUAACGCGUUAAGUGUCCCGCCUGGGGAGUACGCUUGCAAGAGUGAAACUCAAAUGAAUUGACGG